UUUCAUUGUCAUCCAUCUAUGUCCCUAACAAUCUGAUGCCCUCCAAUCAGUAGGUGUUCACAUUUACUUGUCCUAUUCCAAUGAGAAAAGAGAACUUCUUGGAAAAGACAAAAGCAAUAUUGAGGAAAUGACCUGGAGAAGGAUGUGGGUAGAGGGCUCUGAGGAUUACAGAAGAGUUGGGACGGAAGUGAGGACGGCUGGACAAGAUGUGACUCAUUAA
RNAcentral lists this long non-coding RNA (220 nucleotides) under Chinchilla lanigera (long-tailed chinchilla). RNAcentral's name for it is "lncRNA (ENSCLAG00000024430.1)". The record is from RNAcentral. Lineage: Eukaryota; Metazoa; Chordata; Mammalia; Rodentia; Chinchillidae.